AGAAUUGACGGGACCGCACAAGCGGUGGAUGAUGUGGUUAAUUCGAUGCAACGCGAAAACCUUACCACCUUUGACAUGUACGGAAGCCUUUAGAGAUAGAGGCGUGCUCGAAAGAGAGCCGUAACACAGGUGCUGCAUGGCUGUCGUCAGCUCGUGUCGUGAGAUGUUGGGUCAAGUCCCGCAACGAGCGCAACCCUUGUCAUUAGUUGCUACAUUCAGCUGGGCACUCUAAUGAGACUGCCGGUGACAAGCCGGAGGAAGGUGGGGAUGACGUCAAGUCCUCAUGGCCCUUAUAGGUGGGGCUACACACGUCAUACAAUGGCUGGUACAAAGGGUUGCCAACCCGCGAGGGGGAGCUAAUCCCAUAAAGCCAGUCGUAGUCCGGAUCGUAGUCUGCAACUCGACUACGUGAAGUCGGAAUCGCUAGUAAUCGUGGAUCAGAAUGUCACGGUGAAUACGUUCCCGGGUCUU
This 471-nucleotide ribosomal RNA is filed under the name uncultured Rhodoferax sp. Its description in RNAcentral is "bacterial SSU rRNA". It matches the Rfam family "Bacterial small subunit ribosomal RNA", at positions 907 to 1382 of the family's 1533-position model. Lineage: Bacteria; Pseudomonadati; Pseudomonadota; Betaproteobacteria; Burkholderiales; Comamonadaceae. The record is from RNAcentral.